AGCUGCACAAUGGAUUUCUGCGGGCAGAAUGCCAACUAAAACUGGGAAACGUGCAGCAAGUGUGACCUCCCUCUCCCUGACUCACUGUGAUGUUGUGCUGCUUGGAGUUCUCUGUCAGCCAAAGAGAGAGCACGGUGGGAUCUGACUGCUUGGUUGAGGGCUCAUCCAGGACCAGCAGGCCAAGGUUGUCAGGCUUGCCAUCGGGACGAGGAACCUGCAGGAAAACAGAGCCCUGUUCUCUGGGGAUCCAGGGCAGGUGCCUUCCUCUGGGCGCUCUCACAUGUGCAUUCUAUGUACAGUGCUGCCUGGAAAGCACACGGUGUUGGAGAAGGAAAACCCAGGCUUUCCCUCAAGUUACCCAAGUGCUGUUUGGGAGGUGACCAAACUACCAGUGUAGUUUCCCAGGUCUGCCCGUUGUGUCUGACAGAGCAGGGACAGAGCAGAGCCCAGGCCGCACGGCCUGGCUGCCUACAUGCUCUGAGCCUGUGUUCUGUUUCGGUUCGUGGGGCUGGACAGAGAGAGGAACCUGAGGAAACUGUACCUUUAGGAAUGCAUCAAUAUCUCCAACAGCAGGAAUAAAGUCUGGAAUAAAAGGCUGCAGCUUGUGCUCAA
Molecule: long non-coding RNA, 612 nt
Organism: Serinus canaria (Common canary)
Lineage: Eukaryota; Metazoa; Chordata; Aves; Passeriformes; Fringillidae
Exons: 2
Source: RefSeq, a predicted model, not a curated record